Molecule: long non-coding RNA, 435 nt
Filed under: Rattus norvegicus (Norway rat)
Lineage: Eukaryota; Metazoa; Chordata; Mammalia; Rodentia; Muridae
Description: long non-coding RNA NONRATT020243
Source: RNAcentral
CGCCUCUGCAGGCGCAGCGCCCAAAUCCCGCAGGACAGGUCGAGUCUCCAGCCGCUGGGGUCAACGGCUGCGGUUUAAGACUGCAGCUGCUUCCUGUCUUCCACUGGCGCUUAGGGACAGAAGUUGAAACACUAUGGAUCGCAGCUCCAAGAGGAGGCAGGUGAAGCCUUUGGCCGCUUCUCUCCUGGAAGCUCUUGAUUAUGAUAGUUCAGAUGACAGUGAUUUUAAAGUUGGAGAUGCUUCAGAUUCUGAAGGGAGUGGUAAUGGAAGUGAAGACCCUUCAAAGGACAGUGGAGAAGGUUCCUGUAGUGAUUCUGAGGAAAACAUUUUAGAAGAAGAACUGAAUGAAGAUAUUAAAGUAAAAGAAGAACAGCUUAGAAAUUCUACAGAGGAAAUAAUGUCAUCAGACAAACAGUUAAUUAAAAUGGAAAAGAA